GACGGAGGAGGCAAGCAUUGUCCGGAAUUAUUGGGCGUAAAGAACACGUAGGCGGUUUAUCAAGUCAUAUGUGAAAACCUUAGGCUUAACUUAAGGAUUGCAAAUGAUACUGGUAAGCUAGAGUACAGUAGAGGAAAGUGGAAUUCCUGGUGUAGCGGUGAAAUGCGCAGAUAUCAGGAAGAACACUAGUGGCGAAAGCGGCUUUCUGGACUGUUACUGACGCUGAGGUGUGAAAGCUAGGGGAGCGAACAGGAUUAGAUACCCU
This 265-nucleotide ribosomal RNA is filed under the name uncultured prokaryote. Its description in RNAcentral is "partial 16S ribosomal RNA". It matches the Rfam family "Bacterial small subunit ribosomal RNA", at positions 524 to 788 of the family's 1533-position model. The record is from RNAcentral.